CCGACGGGUGAGUAACACGUAUGCAAUCCACCUGUAACGAGGGGAGUAACCCGGAGAAAUCCGGACUAAUACCCCAUAAUAUGGGCGCUCCGCAUGGAGAGUCCAUUAAAGAGAGCAAUCUUGGUUACAGACGAGCAUGCGCUCCAUUAGCCAGUUGGCGGGUAACGGCCCACCAAGGCGACGAUGGAUAGGGGUUCUGAGAGGAAGGUCCCCCACAUUGGAACUGAGACACGGUCCAA
This 239-nucleotide ribosomal RNA is filed under the name uncultured bacterium. Its description in RNAcentral is "partial 16S ribosomal RNA". It matches the Rfam family "Bacterial small subunit ribosomal RNA", at positions 102 to 334 of the family's 1533-position model. The record is from RNAcentral.